GCCAUAGCUCAGUGCCAGAACGUUUGCUUUGCACGCAUAUGGCCACUGGUUCAACCCCUGGUUGGGAAUG
Non-coding RNA from Podarcis lilfordi (Lilford's wall lizard), 70 nucleotides. The record is from the annotation of a GenBank genome assembly. NCBI's taxonomy places the organism in Eukaryota, Metazoa, Chordata, Lepidosauria, Squamata, Lacertidae.